Molecule: long non-coding RNA, 283 nt
Organism: Phyllostomus discolor (pale spear-nosed bat)
Lineage: Eukaryota; Metazoa; Chordata; Mammalia; Chiroptera; Phyllostomidae
Exons: 3
Source: RefSeq, a predicted model, not a curated record
CGCGGCCAGGGCCAGGCCCCAGGGGCUGAGUAGCCGCUGCAGCAACGUCUCCAGCGGGAAGCGGCCCAUGCUCUCAGACACCUCUUCCGCCGUCCGGUUCGCGCGCGACCCGCGACCGCAAAAAUGGUGUUUUGGGGAAAUAUUAAUUGACCCAGCAAGAAGAUGGCUAUCUAUGAACCAAGAAGAGGAGUCUCACCAGACACUGAAUCUGCCUACACCUUGAUCUUGACGUCUAGAAUAGUGAGAAAUAAAUAUUUGUUGUUUAUAGUACAAAUAAAUAUUU